GAGCUCAGGUGGAUGGUUCUUCUGGUGAUCUUAUCUGGGAUUAUUUCUGUAGCUGCAAUCAUCCGGAGGAUUUCUAGGGCUGAAAGUCCAAAAUGGCUUUACUCACAUGUCUGACACUUCAGUUGCAAUGCCUGGAACAGAUGGAGGCUGGCCAGAAAUCAAUCAAUCUCUCUCUCUCUCUUUCCCUUCAGCCUGUGAAGCUAAUUCAGCCUCUGCAGUAGAGUAUCUGGACUUCUUUCCUUUAUACAGUGGAUUAAGACUCCAUGAUGUAAAAGCAGAAGUAGCCAUAUCUCUUAAGGGCUAGGCCAGAAUAGGGGAGGUGUCACUUUUACCAUAGCCUAUUGAUAAAAGAAAUCACAAAGCCAGCCCAGAUUCCAUGUCAGUGGAGAAAUAAACUCAUUGAUUUAUGGGAGGAAUAGCAAAGAAUUUGGAUCAUCUUCAGUUCACCACAGGAUGUAUAAUAUAGCAAGACAAGCAAUAGUAACCUCUAAAAAUUGCCUUUAAACUUUUUGGAUUGAAGAGCAGCUAGCAGAUGUGACAUGUUUCCACAGACAGCAACAACACAAAUGGUCUAAUCAAGGGACUGGAAAGGUCAGCUUGUUACCUGGCUUGGCCCACCCUUUAACAUUUUUUCUUAUCAGAGUUAUUCAUAAAAUUUUACAAUAUUAGAGUUGGGAGAGAUUUGAAGGUCACCUAGCCCAAUCAAAUGUCUUUGGACAAAAACAAGCCUUUAAACAAGAUUACAGACAUUAAUCUGUAGCACAUCCGUGUAGCACAUCUGCUAGAUAAUUUGUUUAUAUGACUCAUUUGUUGUGGCUUUGGUGGAGGACAGGAUCUAAGGAGAUAGAACAUAGGACAGAUAUAUUUUCCAUGGAUGGGAAAAGAUAGGAGAAUAUUCAGGGUUUAGGGUGUGUUUAUACCCUAGUAAGGCCCGAGGAAUAGAGAUGAGCAUGGUAGUCAUGGGAACCACAAAGCAUUCAGUGUUGAGGGGAGAAUCAGAAAAUCUGUAAAGUAUAUUUUACCAAGUUUGCAAUUCUGCCUGAGGGAGGGCCUUGGAAGUGAUUUGCUACAACACUUCCUAUUAGUCAGAGAGAAGACUUCUUGGAAGAAGUGUUUCAACAUCACUAGAAAUGAGAAGCAGCUUUCUCAUGAAUUGCUUAGUAUAGAGACAUACUUAAUUUUCCUCCUAGAGAUUGUCUCUUUCAUACCCUCCUAUAAGCUCAAGGUUUACCAAAAGAUAGACAGUAGGCUGAUCCUUAAUUUCGUCUUUCUAGAGUUCCUCAUCUUCCUAGCAGAGGAAGGGGGUCACUGAAUGAUCUGAGAUUGAGUUCCUCACUGGCCUCCCCUGUGAUUUGGGGAACGUAUGUUUUUGGUGUGGUUUAGCAUUCUAGAGUGUAUGUUUAUCAUAACAGAGCCCAGCAAAGCCCAGCCUGCUAGCCUCUGGGCUUGUUGAUACACAUUUCCUGUUUCAUUUUGCAGUCAUUGUCCUUGCAAGCUGGGCUUAACAGCUUUUGGUCUUCUCAUUUUCUGAUAAUUAUGAGAAUGUUUUGAGAUAUCAAUGUGUUCUCAAGGAAGCUUCAGGAGGAGCUGAAUACCUUUCAACUGGAGGAAGCCAAUACCUUUCAACUGGAGGAAGAAUACUCUGUAAAAGAGAAAAUAAUGCACAAAUGGCUUUUCCCCUGAAAGUGAUAAGCAAGGAAUUCCCUCCAUCCUCCUUCCCCACCCCAGACCUGGCUGAUGGCAUUGCUAGUCUUCUUUUUAGAUUCUGUUCUUGCUAUCUCCUUGUUGACCAGCUUGGGGUCCAUGGGAGGAGCUGUUGCUGUCUAAAGUUUCUAAAUGGGAUGUAACAGCUUUUUGUAAAAUUUGCUAGGUUCUUUUUGGACCUGAGUAAUUCUUUUUCUUAUCAGUAUACUGGCACUGAGAUCCUUAAACUUAUUUAGGGAGAAUUUGUGAAUAUAGUGGGUACAUAAAAACAUGAUUCAAUUACAUAUUUUUUUCUUAGAUACAAAAUAAUUUCAAACAAUCCUACAGUAUUUAAAGUGUCUUAGUAUUUUGGGGCAAAAUACACAGGACCUAUCUUGUUUCUUCUCAAUGUAAAAGAUUUCUGGAACUUGGAGCUAAUUCACGACUCUAGGUUCUGCUUCAGUUGUUGCCGUUAUUAUUGAAUUAGCUAAAAUAGUAACUAUUUAAUGAGUUGAAAAAACAAAUUUCCUAGUCCCACAUGCUAUAUGUGCAGAAACUUUAGAUUUCUAUUUCAAUAAAGCUUAAACAGAACCUUCGCUCCCAUUCUGUGCAGUUAAUUUGUGGCAUUCUUUAUUAACUUUCCCAGAAAAGUUGGCCACUGUUGCUGUGUUCCUAUGCUGGGGGAUGAUUUUUCUUUUGAAACUUCAUUAAAGCACCACAAGGGUAAAUCAAUACCUAUUCACUCACAGUUUGGGUUUCUUGUUUGUUCCACUGAGCGGAUGAGAUGAGAUGGCUUUUUAACCUAUUUAGCGCUCAGAAAGGACACCUCCAGCUAGAAGUGUUCUCAGUUGUCUGCAGCAUCUAUAAAUUUGCCAUUUCCCCCCACCCCCAUUCUCCCUACUUUUUCCUAUCUGCUUCCUGGUGGACAGGUUUUCUCAGAGACCUUCUAAUCUGGUCAAUACCAGAAGAUCUAGGUGGUCAUCAGAAAAAGCAGUAUCUUAGGGUUCUGAGCCUCAGAGAAAUGUCAGUGACUCUAAAACAAUUUAGCCAAAGGGCCAAAGCAUAUCUACCAAGGUCUGCUUCACAAGCUCUGUGGGAAUCUGCUAGCAGGGACCUGCCAGGGGUGAUUUCCCAGAGUGCUUCGCUUUUAGGUAGGCUUGGAAGGGAGGAGAUGUGGCCCACACAAAAUGGCUGGGACCUCCCACACUCCAGGUGUAGCCUGAUAAGCAAGGAAUUCCCUCCAUCCUCCUUCCCCACCCCAGACCUGGCUGAUGGCAUUGCUAGUCUUCUUUUUAGAUUCUGUUCUUGAGAGAAUCUGGAGUCCUGGCCCCUUGUUACCAGAAAUCAGCUUUAAGGGAGAAGCAACCUUCCUACAGUUAUUGGAGACUCCAGAAACAGACUAGGAUGGAGAGACAAGUUGUCAGCCAAUUUUGCUCAAACUCUGGCUGGUUCAGCUCUGUUGGGGAAAGAGGGCAAUUUUGCCUGAAGGCAUUUCUGGAAUUGGUUACAAGCUGAGGGGAAUCAGAGGGACAAGCAGUUGCUGACCUGGCAGGGCUUUGUUAGCCUCUGGAUGGUGGUUUACAGGGGAGGGUUGGGGUGGUGAGGAGAUAUGUAACCAUCUCUCUCGAAGCCACUCCAGUUAGACUUCCUUUCCCUCCAGGCAGCUUAACAAGGUCUCCAGUGCGCUCCCCAAACCCACCCCAAGCCCAUCAUCUACCAGUCUCCCUUCCACCCCAUGUUGGCCUUACUGUUCCUCCAAUAGCUGAAGAAAUCUUUCACUUCAGGGAUUUGCUAUUUUCUCCUCUGGAAAGCUUCUGCCCACGGUAUGAUUCAGUUCCACAUUUCAAUUUGUUCUUCAAAUGACCCGUUCCUCAGAGCAGCUUCCAAGGUUACUUUAUCUAGUCCUUAUUUCUGUAUCCUCAUGACUAGAGAAUGUAAGCAUCAUAAAAGCAGGGACUUUGCUAUCCUCAGAGUCUAGAACAAAGCCUCGUGCAGAGUUGAUGCUGAUUCGUGGAUAACAAACCUGGAUCAACCAACUGUCUCAUAUCACUAUGUCGCAUUCAGAUAGCUCUCAAGAGGAUGGAUAUGUGUCAAUAUUUUCAUAUUUGUUAUUUAUUGUGUAUUGUUUUUGACUAGUCUUUUUCUCUGCCACAAACAAAAGAGCUGAUUUUGUUUUUUAUAAUGAUUUUUAUUUUUUCCGUUAUAGUUGAUUUAUAGUGUUCUGUUGACUAGUCUUACUUAAUUUGAAUUAAGUACGUUUUUUAUUUGUUUGGGUUAGGGUUGGGGUUGGUGUUAGAGAUCAGAUCAGGGAUCAAAUAUGAGUCACAACUACAACCUACACCAAAACUGUGGUAACACUGGGAGUUCCCGUCGAGGCGCAGUGGUUAACAAAUCCGACUAGGAACGCUGAGGUUGCAGGUUCGGUCCCUGCCCUUGCUCAGUGGGUUAACAAUCUGGCGUUGCUGUGAGCUGUGGUGUAGGUUGCAGACGCGACUUGGAUCGCGCGUUGCUGUGGUCUGGUGUAGGCCAGUGGCUACAGCUCCGAUUCGACCCCUAGCCUGGGAACCUCCACGUGCCGCGGGAGCGGCCCAAGAAAUAGCAAAAAGACAAAAAAAA
RNAcentral lists this long non-coding RNA (4299 nucleotides) under Sus scrofa (pig). RNAcentral's name for it is "lncRNA (ENSSSCG00055007952.1)". The record is from RNAcentral. Lineage: Eukaryota; Metazoa; Chordata; Mammalia; Artiodactyla; Suidae.